UCACAACAAGGUAAAAAAGGCCCGUAUAAUAGUUUAUUUCAAAAAAGUAAAAUAUUUAAAAUGAAAAAAAAAAUUAUUUAAAAAAUUUAUUUCCCAAAUUUUAUUUUUACAAAAUAUUUAUUAUGUCAAAGAAAAAUUUAAUUAAUUGGAUAAAUGUAUUAUAAAAAUUAAAUAAAAAAAUGUUGAUAACAUAAAAGCCCAAAAAUUAGUACAAAAAAAUUCACCUAAAUACA
This 233-nucleotide long non-coding RNA is filed under the name Lathyrus oleraceus (garden pea). RNAcentral describes it as "Pisum sativum (pea) long non-coding RNA (PSAT_LNC041340)". The record is from RNAcentral. Lineage: Eukaryota; Viridiplantae; Streptophyta; Magnoliopsida; Fabales; Fabaceae.